Molecule: ribosomal RNA, 900 nt
Filed under: uncultured bacterium
Lineage: Bacteria
Description: bacterial SSU rRNA
Rfam family: Bacterial small subunit ribosomal RNA
Source: RNAcentral
AGAGUUUGAUCAUGGCUCAGGACGAACGCUGGCGGCGUGCCUAACACAUGCAAGUCGUGCGGUCUCGCCUUAAGCGAAAGGCCUUCGGGCUUUGAAGCAAAGGCGAGAUAGCGGCGGACGGGUGAGUAACGCGUGGCUUAUCUGUCCCAGGGAGGGGGAUAACGUCUGGAAACGGGCGCUAAUACCCCAUAUGCCGAAAGGUAAAAAGGAGAAAUCCGCCCUGGGGUGAGGCCGCGUCCUAUCAGCUCGUUGGUGAGGUAACGGCCCACCAAGGCUAUGACGGGUAGCCGGCCUGAGAGGGCGGCUGGCCACACUGGGAUUGAGAUACGGCCCAGACUCCUACGGGAGGCAGCAGUGGGGAAUAUUGGGCAAUGGGGGAAACCCUGACCCAGCGACGCCGCGUGGAGGAAGGAGCCCUUCGGGGUGUAAACUCCUGUUGUAAGGGAAGAAGACAGUGACGGUACCUUACGAGGAAGCCCCGGCAAACUACGUGCCAGCAGCCGCGGUAACACGUAGGGGGCGAGCGUUGUCCGGAAUUACUGGGCGUAAAGCGCACGCAGGCGGAUGCGCGCGUCGGCUGUGAAAUGCACCGGCUCAACCGGUGCACUGCGGUCGAUACGGCGCAUCUGGAGUGCGGGAGAGGGAAGCGGAAUUCCCGGUGUAGCGGUGAAAUGCGUAGAUAUCGGGAGGAACGCCGGUGGCGAAGGCGGCUUCCUGGCCCGCAACUGACGCUCAUGUGCGAAAGCCAGGGGAGCGAACCGGAUUAGAUACCCGGGUAGUCCUGGCCGUAAACGAUGGACGCUAGGUGUGGGCGGUUUAUCCGUCUGUGCCGAAGUUAACGCGUUAAGCGUCCCGCCUGGGGAGUACGAUCGCAAGGUUGAAACUCAAAGGAAUUGACGG